AUGAUAGAGGAGCACAAUGUUCAACAUAUCAAGUACUUCGGGAUUAUGUGGAAAAAUAGAAAGAGAUUUGUACCUGCGUACUUCAAGAAUGACUUUUUCCCAUUCAUCCAGUCAACAACAAGAAGUGAAGGGACAAAUUUUGUAUUCAAAGCAAAUGUAGGGUCAAGUAACAGUGUGAUUGCUUUCAUGACAGAGUUUGACAAGAUAUCACAGAGUAUUGAAGAAAAAAGAAAAGAAAAUGAUUCAGUAACAAGGAGAACUUCUCCAACUAUUUGGAGUGACUGGGCAUUGGAAAAGCAAGCUGCAAAACUAUAUAACAGAGGCAUAUUCUACAAAUUUCAGCAAGAGUUGAUGAAUUCAACAAAAUUUCACAUGAUGGAAGUGGAAAAGAACAAACAAUAUGAGGUGUACAAGUCACCAACUCAAGCACUGUUUGACUAUAACCCAAGAACAUUCAUAGUGAUUGUUGACGGAGACUCAGAAACUAUUUCAUGUGUGUGUGGGAAAUUUGAGAAAGAUGGCAUUCUGUGCUGUCAUGUACUCAAAGUCAUUCAACCAUUGAACGUAGAUGAGUUACCAGAAAAGUAUUUCAUUGACAGAUGGAGACCUAAGGAAAAGAGAGUAUUUCAAGCUAAUGAAGAAAAUGCAAACCUUGAGGAUUUGGAUGAGCAAAUGGCAUUCUUCUCAUUUUCAAGAAGGAUAGUUCAACUAGCUUCUGAGGCAUAA
RNAcentral lists this ribosomal RNA (726 nucleotides) under Triticum aestivum (bread wheat). RNAcentral's name for it is "partial small subunit ribosomal RNA". The record is from RNAcentral. Lineage: Eukaryota; Viridiplantae; Streptophyta; Magnoliopsida; Poales; Poaceae.